Lagenorhynchus albirostris (white-beaked dolphin) is the source of this 1640-nucleotide RNA transcript. It is a transcript of the gene named choline phosphotransferase 1, with no coding region annotated. The record is from RefSeq and is a predicted model, not a curated record. NCBI's taxonomy places the organism in Eukaryota, Metazoa, Chordata, Mammalia, Artiodactyla, Delphinidae. The transcript is spliced from 9 exons.
CCCGCGGCCGGCGGCUCUGGGGGCGGAGGCCCCGGGACCAGGGGCGGCCUGGCCUGACCUCGACCUCCGCCGCGGGCCCGACCGGCGAGUCCCACCGGGCCGGCGCAGGCCCGGGCCCGCAAGCCCCUCCCUCCACCUGUCCCCGCCCGGGCGCCCGGCUCGGGCUGCGCUCGCUCGCAGCGGCGGGGCCCGCAGGCGGCCAUGGCGGCGGGCGCCUGGGCCAGGCCGGCGCCGCGCUGGCUGAAGGCGCUGGGCGAGCCGCUGAGCGCGGCGCAGCUGCGGCGGCUAGAGGAACACCGCUACAGCGUCGCGGGCGUCUCGUUGCUUGAGCCGCCGCUGCAGCUCUACUGGACCUGGCUGCUCCAGUGGAUCCCGCUGUGGAUGGCCCCCAACUCCAUCACCCUCCUGGGCCUCGCCAUCAACCUGCUUACCACGCUCCUGCUCAUCUCUUACUGCCCCACGGUCACCGAGGAGGCACCGUACUGGACAUACCUUUUAUGUGCAUUAGGACUCUUUAUCUACCAGUCACUGGAUGCUAUUGAUGGGAAACAAGCCAGAAGAACAAAUUCUUGUUCUCCUUUAGGGGAACUUUUUGACCAUGGCUGUGACUCUCUUUCCACAGUUUUUAUGGCAGUUGGAGCUUCAAUUGCUGUUCGCUUAGGAACGUAUCCUGACUGGUUGUUUUUCUGCUGUUUUAUUGGGAUGUUCAUGUUUUAUUGUGCUCACUGGCAGACUUAUGUUUCAGGCGUGUUGAGGUUUGGAAAAGUGGAUGUAACUGAAAUUCAGGUAGCUUUAGUGAUCGUCUUUGUGUUGUCUACAUUUGGAGGAGCAACAAUGUGGGACUAUACGAUACCUGUCCUAGAAAUAAAAUUGAAGAUCUUACCAGUUCUCGGAGUAGUAGGUGGAGCAAUAUUUUCCUGUUCAAAUUAUUUCCAUGUUAUCUUCCAUGGUGGUGUUGGCAAGAAUGGAUCCACUAUAGCAGGUACCAGUGUCUUGUCACCUGGACUCCACAUAGGAAUAAUUAUUUUACUGGCAAUAAUGAUCUAUAAAAAGUCAGCAACUAAUCUGUUUGAAAAGCAUCCUUGUCUUUAUACCCUAAUGUUUGGAUGUGUCUUUGCUAAAAUCUCACAGAAAUUGGUGAUAGCUCACAUGACCAAAAGUGAACUGUAUCUUCAAGACACUGUCUUUCUUGGCCCAGGUCUUUUAUUUUUACACCAGUACUUUAAUAAUUUUGUAGACGAAUAUGUUGUUCUAUGGAUAGCAAUGGUCAUUUCUUCAUUUGAUAUGAUGAGGUACUUUAGUGCUUUGUGCCUGCAAAUUUCAAGACACCUUCAUCUAAGUAUCUUCAAGACUUCAUGUCAUCAAGCACCUGAACAGGUUCACAAGCAUAUUGACUAAUAGCCCAAGGAAAAGAGGAGAAGCAGUUAGGGGAACCUAGGAGUGAAGGGAAUCCCCUUUUUCAGGAGGUUCAAGUUAUUCCUUCAAAGAGUCAUCAGAAUAACAUGGACUGAAGAGACUUUCGAACAUUUGCCAUCUCUUGCUGCUGCUGUCAAAUGAAAGGAGAUAUUAAACAUUUGUUUAAUUUUUAGAUAAGUGUUAUACAUAUUUCAGCAAAUAAAAUAUUUCAAUGCUUACAAUAA